GUCUUCUUGCUAUAUUUAGGAAGUCUGGCCUGCCCAGUGAAAAUAAUUUAACGGCCGCGGUAUACUGACCGUGCAAAGGUAGCAUAAUCAUUAGUCUUUUAAUAGAGGGCUGGUAUGAAGGGUUUAACGAGGUGUUGACUGUCUCAUUUAAUUUGAAUUUAGAAUUUAAUUUUUUAGUUAAAAAGCUAAAAUAUUAUUGGAAGACGAGAAGACCCUAUAGAGCUUUAUAUUUUUAUUAUUAAUUUAUUUUAGUUUAUUAUUAUUUAUUAUUAAUAGAAAAUAUUUUGUUGGGGUGACAAAAAUAUAUAAAUAACUUUUUCAUUUAUUUUACAUUGAUAUAUGAAUAUUAGAUCCAGUCUUAUUGAUUGUUAGAUUAAGUUACCUUAGGGAUAACAGCGUAAUCCCUCUCCAGAGUUCAUAUUUACAGAGGGGCUUGCGACCUCGAUGUUGGAUUAAGAUAAUAAUUAGGUGCAGCCGCUUAAUUAAUAGGUCUGUUCGACCUUUAAAUUCUU
This 512-nucleotide ribosomal RNA is filed under the name Anax nigrofasciatus. RNAcentral's name for it is "partial 16S rRNA". It matches the Rfam family "Bacterial large subunit ribosomal RNA", at positions 1830 to 2597 of the family's 2925-position model. The record is from RNAcentral. Lineage: Eukaryota; Metazoa; Arthropoda; Insecta; Odonata; Aeshnidae.